GACGAACGCUGGCGGCGUGCCUAACACAUGCAAGUCGAACGAAGUUAUUUAUGGAAGUCUUCGGACGGAAGUUUUUAACUUAGUGGCGGACGGGUGAGUAACGCGUGAGCAACCUGCCUUUCAGAGGGGGAUAACAGUUGGAAACGACUGCUAAUACCGCAUAAGACCACAGAGCCGCAUGGUUCAGGGGUCAAAGGNGUAAUCCGGUAUGAGGUGGACUCGCGUCUGAUUAGAUAGUUGGUGAGGUAACGGCUCACCAAGUCGACGAUCGGUAGCCGACCUGAGAGGGUGAUCGGCCACAUUGGGACUGAGACACGGCCCAGACUCCUACGGGAGGCAGCAGUGGGGAAUAUUGGGCAAUGGGCGCAAGCCUGACCCAGCAACGCCGCGUGAGGGAGAAGGUUUCGGAUGUAAACCUCUGUCCUAGGUGAAGAGCAGAAGACGGUAGCCUAGGAGGAAGCUCCGGGCAACUACGUG
This 477-nucleotide ribosomal RNA is filed under the name uncultured bacterium. RNAcentral describes it as "bacterial SSU rRNA". It matches the Rfam family "Bacterial small subunit ribosomal RNA", at positions 28 to 507 of the family's 1533-position model. The record is from RNAcentral.